RNAcentral lists this ribosomal RNA (495 nucleotides) under uncultured bacterium. RNAcentral describes it as "partial 16S ribosomal RNA". It matches the Rfam family "Bacterial small subunit ribosomal RNA", at positions 28 to 507 of the family's 1533-position model. The record is from RNAcentral.
GACGAACGCUGGCGGCGUGCCUAAUACAUGCAAGUCGAACGCUGAAGGAGGAGCUUGCUCUUCUGGAUGAGUUGCGAACGGGUGAGUAACGCGUAGGUAACCUGCCUGGUAGCGGGGGAUAACUAUUGGAAACGAUAGCUAAUACCGCAUAACAGUAGAUGUUGCGUGACAUUUACUUAAAAGGUGCAAUUGCAUCACUACCAGAUGGACCUGCGUUGUAUUAGCUAGUUGGUGGGGUAACGGCUCACCAAGGCGACGAUACAUAGCCGACCUGAGAGGGUGAUCGGCCACACUGAGACUGGGACACGGCCCAGACUCCUACGGGAGGCAGCAGUAGGGAAUCUUCGGCAAUGGACGGAAGUCUGACCGAGCAACGCCGCGUGAGUGAAGAAGGUUUUCGGAUCGUAAAGCUCUGUUGUAAGAGAAGAACGAGUGUGAGAGUGGAAAGUUCACACUGUGACGGUAGCUUACCAGAAAGGGACGGCUAACUACGUG